GUUUGAUUCUGGCUCAGGAUGAACGCUGGCGGCAUGCCUAAUACAUGCAAGUCGAACGGAGUGAAGCCUUCGGGUUUCAUUCAGUGGCGAACGGGUGAGUAAUACGCAGGGAACCUGGCCAUGGCAGGGGGAUACACUCUGGAAACGGAGCAUAAGACCCCAUAGGCAGUAAGGCGGCAUCGCCUUACUGUUAAAGAAAGCUGAAAGGCUUUGGCGAUGGAUGGACCUGCGGUGCAUUAGCUUGUUGGUGAGGCAACGGCUUACCAAGGCGAUGAUGCAUAGCCGGCCUGAGAGGGCGGACGGCCACACUGGGACUGAGACACGGCCCAGACUCCUGCGGGAGGCAGCAGUAGGGAAUUUUCGUCAAUGGGCGCAAGCCUGAACGAGCAAUGCCGCGUGAGUGAGGAAGGUCUUCGGACUGUAAAGCUCUGUUGCCGGGGAAAAAGGGGAAAUGCAGGAAAUGGCAUUUCAUGGAUGGUACCCGGCCAGAAAGCCACGGCUAACUACGUGCCAGCAGCCGCGGUAAUACGUAGGUGGCGAGCGUUAUCCGGAAUGAUUGGGCGUAAAGGGUGCGCAGGCGGUCUGUUAAGUCUGAAGGCAAAGGGAUGAGCUCAACUCAUUUAUGAUUCAGAAACUGGCAGACUUGAGGACAGGAGAGGGCGGUGGAACUCCAUGUGUAGCGGUAAAAUGCGCAGAGAUAUGGAAGAACACCAGUGGCGAAGGCGGCCGCCUGGCCUGUGACUGACGCUGAGGCACGAAAGCGUGGGGAGCAAAUAGGAUUAGAUACCCUAGUAGUCCACGCCGUAAACGAUGAGGAGCAGGUGUUGGGAGUGAAAUCUCAGUGCCGAAGCCAACGCAGUGACUCCUCCGCCUGGGGAGUAUGCACGCAAGUGUGAAACUCAAAGGAAUUGACGGGGGCCCGCACAAGCGGUGGAGUAUGUGGUUUAAUUCGAAGCAACGCGAAGAACCUUACCAGGUUUUGACAUCGGAUGCGAAGGCGCAGAGAUGCGCUGGAGGCUAUCAUCCAGACAGGUGGUGCAUGGUUGUCGUCAGCUCGUGUCGUGAGAUGUUCAGUUAAGUCUGGCAACGAGCGCAACCCCCGUGGUAUGUUACUAACGCAUUUGGGCGAGGACUCAUAUCAGACUGCCGGUGACAAACCGGAGGAAGGCGGGGAUGACGUCAAAUCAUCAUGCCCCUUAUGACCUGGGCUACACACGUACUACAAUGGCGUCUACAGAGGGAAGCGACCCUGAGAAGGGAAGCGAAACCGGAAAAGGGCGUCCCAGUUCGGAUUGAAGUCUGCAACCCGACUUCAUGAAGAUGGAAUCGCUAGUAAUCGCGGAUCAGCAUGCCGCGGUGAAUACGUUCCCGGGCCUUGUACACACCGCCCGUCAAACCAUGGAAGCCGGCAACGCCCGAAGCCGGUGGCAUAACCUUUUAGGAGUGAGCCGUCGAAGGCGGGGCCGAUGACUGGGGUUAAGUCGUAACAAGGUAGCC
Molecule: ribosomal RNA, 1497 nt
Filed under: uncultured bacterium
Lineage: Bacteria
Description: 16S ribosomal RNA
Rfam family: Bacterial small subunit ribosomal RNA
Source: RNAcentral